RNAcentral lists this ribosomal RNA (669 nucleotides) under Lacticaseibacillus paracasei. RNAcentral describes it as "bacterial SSU rRNA". It matches the Rfam family "Bacterial small subunit ribosomal RNA", at positions 58 to 700 of the family's 1533-position model. The record is from RNAcentral. Lineage: Bacteria; Bacillati; Bacillota; Bacilli; Lactobacillales; Lactobacillaceae.
CGAGUUCUCGUUGAUGAUCGGUGCUUGCACCGAGAUUCAACAUGGAACGAGUGGCGGACGGGUGAGUAACACGUGGGUAACCUGCCCUUAAGUGGGGGAUAACAUUUGGAAACAGAUGCUAAUACCGCAUAGAUCCAAGAACCGCAUGGUUCUUGGCUGAAAGAUGGCGUAAGCUAUCGCUUUUGGAUGGACCCGCGGCGUAUUAGCUAGUUGGUGAGGUAAUGGCUCACCAAGGCGAUGAUACGUAGCCGAACUGAGAGGUUGAUCGGCCACAUUGGGACUGAGACACGGCCCAAACUCCUACGGGAGGCAGCAGUAGGGAAUCUUCCACAAUGGACGCAAGUCUGAUGGAGCAACGCCGCGUGAGUGAAGAAGGCUUUCGGGUCGUAAAACUCUGUUGUUGGAGAAGAAUGGUCGGCAGAGUAACUGUUGUCGGCGUGACGGUAUCCAACCAGAAAGCCACGGCUAACUACGUGCCAGCAGCCGCGGUAAUACGUAGGUGGCAAGCGUUAUCCGGAUUUAUUGGGCGUAAAGCGAGCGCAGGCGGUUUUUUAAGUCUGAUGUGAAAGCCCUCGGCUUAACCGAGGAAGCGCAUCGGAAACUGGGAAACUUGAGUGCAGAAGAGGACAGUGGAACUCCAUGUGUAGCGGUGAAAUGCGUAGAUAUAUG